RNAcentral lists this ribosomal RNA (46 nucleotides) under Rhizoctonia solani. RNAcentral describes it as "partial 28S ribosomal RNA". Lineage: Eukaryota; Fungi; Basidiomycota; Agaricomycetes; Cantharellales; Ceratobasidiaceae. The record is from RNAcentral.
CUGAUCUCAAAUCAGGUAGGACUACCCGCUGAACUUAAGCAUAUCA